Long non-coding RNA from Trifolium pratense (red clover), 993 nucleotides. RefSeq lists it as uncharacterized. The transcript has 3 exons. Lineage: Eukaryota; Viridiplantae; Streptophyta; Magnoliopsida; Fabales; Fabaceae. The record is from RefSeq and is a predicted model, not a curated record.
AAUAAAAUAAAAUUCUAUUUGAUACAUGCAAAAAGUGGAAAAUAUGGAUAAAAUUUUCAAGUUUGUUAAUGUUAUGAUCAUCAUUUUUUUCCUAUUUCUUGCUUCAACGCGAGCUUCAUAUGCCAACAUUCCAUGUAAAACUGAUCGUGAUUGUCCAGUAGUUUCCAUCAACCAGUUCAAGAAUUCAAAACCUAUAAGAAUGAGGUGUCGUAAUGGUUUUUGUAUUGUGAUAAGACAUUAAAUGAAUUUUUUUAUAGUUUUUUUAAUUUCACGUACUUUUGUAAGAUGAUGUAAGUGAAAUGAAAUAAAGCAUAAAAAUUAUUAUUUACAGGUUCUUCUUCUAUAUGUUUUACUUGACCUCCUUACUAAGGUGUUAAAGGGGCAAAUUAACACAUUGUUGUACUUAAGAGACAUUUAAUAAUUAUAAAAAAAUUGAAAGUUUUUUUACAACUCUGUAAGUAUUGAAAACUAUUGAAUUGAUUGAAGGAGAACAUGAGCUUUAUAAAUAAAUCAAAAAGUGAUAAAAUAAAAUUCUAUUUGAUACAUGUAAAAAGUGAAAAACAUGGAUAAAAUUUUCAAGUUUGUUAAUGUUAUGAUAAUCAUUUUUUCCCUAUUUCUUGCUUCAACACCAGUUUCACAUGCUGUCAUUCCAUGUAAAACUUAUUAUGAUUGUCCGCUAGCUAAAAUCGGCCGGUACAAGCGUUUAAGAAGAAUGACGUGCCGUAAAGGUGUUUGUAUAAAUAUAUAACAAUAAUUAUAAAGCUCCAAAGAUUAUAUAAUUGUCAUAUCCAAAAGAAUACACAAAUGCACAACAAGAAUACUCUAUCAAUUGCAGAGAGUUUGUUAACAAUAGUAAUCCAUAUAUUACAAGUUAAUCGAUAUAUUCAUUUUUAUUUUGAUAAAAAUAAUGGAUACUUGAUUUUAAUUUAUAUGUUUUUGUACUUAAUCCCAAUUGGUAAUCUCCCAUCGAUAACAACGAAUCAUACCUUCAAU